GCCCACACGAAGUCGGAGUUGCUAGUAAUCCCGAAUCAGCAUGUCGGGGUGAAUGCGUUCCCGGGUCUUGUACACACCGCCCGUCACGCCAUGGGAGUUAGGAGUACCCGAAGCCAGUGACCUAACCGCAAGGGAGGAGCUGUCGAAGGUAAGACUGAUGACUGGGGUGAAGUCGUAACAAGGUAAC
RNAcentral lists this ribosomal RNA (187 nucleotides) under uncultured bacterium. RNAcentral describes it as "partial 16S ribosomal RNA". It matches the Rfam family "Bacterial small subunit ribosomal RNA", at positions 1314 to 1500 of the family's 1533-position model. The record is from RNAcentral.